Molecule: ribosomal RNA, 349 nt
Filed under: Klebsiella pneumoniae
Lineage: Bacteria; Pseudomonadati; Pseudomonadota; Gammaproteobacteria; Enterobacterales; Enterobacteriaceae
Also listed under: 1 other name
Description: partial 23S ribosomal RNA
Rfam family: Bacterial large subunit ribosomal RNA
Source: RNAcentral
GCGAAAAGAACCCCGGCGAGGGGAGUGAAAAAGAACCUGAAACCGUGUACGUACAAGCAGUGGGAGCACCUUCGGGUGUGACUGCGUACCUUUUGUAUAAUGGGUCAGCGACUUAUAUUCUGUAGCAAGGUUAACCGUAUAGGGGAGCCGCAGGGAAACCGAGUCUUAACUGGGCGUUAAGUUGCAGGGUAUAGACCCGAAACCCGGUGAUCUAGCCAUGGGCAGGUUGAAGGUUGGGUAACACUAACUGGAGGACCGAACCGACUAAUGUUGAAAAAUUAGCGGAUGACUUGUGGCUGGGGGUGAAAGGCCAAUCAAACCGGGAGAUAGCUGGUUCUCCCCGAAAGCU